GACGAACGCUGGCGGCGUGCCUAAUACAUGCAAGUAGAACGCUGAAGGAGGAGCUUGCUUCUCCGGAUGAGUUGCGAACGGGUGAGUAACGCGUAGGUAACCUGCCUGGUAGCGGGGGAUAACUAUUGGAAACGAUAGCUAAUACCGCAUAACAGUAGAUAUUGCAUGAUAUCUGCUUGAAAGGUGCAAUUGCAUCACUACCAGAUGGACCUGCGUUGUAUUAGCUAGUUGGUGGGGUAACGGCUCACCAAGGCGACGAUACAUAGCCAACCUGAGAGGGUGAUCGGCCACACUGGGACUGAGACACGGCCCAGACUCCUACGGGAGGCAGCAGUAGGGAAUCUUCGGCAAUGGACGGAAGUCUGACCGAGCAACGCCGCGUGAGUGAAGAAGGUUUUCGGAUCGUAAAGCUCUGUUGUAAGAGAAGAACGAGUGUGAGAGUGGAAAGUUCACACUGUGACGGUAUCUUACCAGAAAGGGACGGCUAACUACGUGCCAGCAGCCGCGGUAAUACGUAGGUCCCGAGCGUUGUCCGGAUUUAUUGGGCGUAAAGCGAGCGCAGGCGGUUAGAUAAGUCUGAAGUUAAAGGCUGUGGCUUAACCAUAGUACGCUUUGGAAACUGUUUAACUUGAGUGCAAGAGGGGAGAGUGGAAUUCCAUGUGUAGCGGUGAAAUGCGUAGAUAUAUGGAGGAACACCGGUGGCGAAAGCGGCUCUCUGGCUUGUAACUGACGCUGAGGCUCGAUGGCGGGGGAGCUAACUGGAUUAUAUGCCCUGGUAGUGCCAGGGCGAAUCCCCAGUGGAUAUCAGGCUUAUGGUCCGUGGAGUGUGGGGGGAAAAAACGUUACCCAUGUUUGUUCUUUAUGAGUGUGAUUAAGC
This 877-nucleotide ribosomal RNA is filed under the name uncultured Streptococcus sp. RNAcentral's name for it is "bacterial SSU rRNA". It matches the Rfam family "Bacterial small subunit ribosomal RNA". The record is from RNAcentral. Lineage: Bacteria; Bacillati; Bacillota; Bacilli; Lactobacillales; Streptococcaceae.